GGCUCCGAGAUACGCUCUUGCAGCUCGUAUUCUCAAAACCCAGGAGAGGCUCUCGACGACCGAUAAUUCGUUUUAGAACGAGCAGAGAGUACAAACGAUGGAAAACUGAAGAAGGCAGACAAAAUAGCAAAGCUCAUCAACGAGGCAGUUCAUUAAUUUUGAUAAGUGGGAAAUAAAUGGCUGCAAGAUACGUAUAGACUUUUACCUCGUACAUUACAACUGUUAAUUAUCUCAAGGCGAAAUGCAAAACAUUGAAAAAGGCGAAGGACAACAAAGCACGUGUAGCGGAGCUUAAGAAGAGGCUCACACACGACUUACUUGAGGUAGGUCAUCGAUUCUACGAUGACCGGUAAAGAAAUGACGUAACCUGAUUAUCGUCAUGAAGAGAUGAGCGACAAACGCAUUCUCAGAGCAAUGCCCUGUUCGUAAGAGUGGUCUAGUUCCAGACUCCAAUGCAAUAUCUCGCAUAGAUCAUUGGAACUCAAUUUAAAAUGCGUAACGAAGUAAGUUUACACGAGAUCCUAUGUAAUAAAUUAGAAAUUACUGUUUCUACAAUAUUCGAAGAUCUCGCAAUUAUCUUUGGAACGAAAAUUCAUUAAUUAAGAAAGUAAACACGAAUUAUAUUCGUGUACCUAACGUUGCAAGAAUUCUGCAAAUAUUGUAUUGUAUUAAAUCAAGUUCGUCACGAUUUGCACAUCUGACUUUGACUCAUUUUGAUACCGGACUCAAUGAUGUACGAACUAGAAAUCUGUAUAUCGAAUAAGGUGCAUAUUUUCGAAGCGGAAAGAUCUGCCGCGAUCAGGAUCUCGUUUUAUACGUGUACGUAUUUAUCGCGUCUGGGUCGGAAUACGUACGUCUCAUACAUAAAUAGAUAGACAUGUGUGUCGCAGACUCCGUGCAUCAAUUCCAAGGACCUUUUCGAGCGCACUGCCUCUCGAGGAUUUCAAGUUCUUUUUAUCCGCCGUUCAAGGCGAACUCGUAAGGCGGGAGGAAAAGGAAGAAAAAAAAUCCAACCGAGACACUAACACCGGACGGAAAAUAUACUGACCCACUGACUCAUAGGGGGAUUUCCGGCAUUAGCUUGCAAUUGCUAUGCGGCAAACUAUCAUCAAUCGUGCAACGUUCUUAAAAGUCUUGUUCUGUCUCCUAAGCCGUUUGUUACUAACGUGCACAAAUUAAUUCGUGUCUGUCGAUUCGAAUAUCAGGUGAAUUGUAAUUCAUUACAAGAACAUAAUAAGUCGCCUAGUCACCAAAUUCCGCAAUGGAUCAAGAAGCCACAACGCCUUGCUACAAUUUGAUAAUUGGAGUGUAGGAGGACUAAUAAGACGUGGAGACUGCUGAAGAUUAAUUUGUCAUAAAACACGGAACAUCUGUUGACUGAGGAGCAACUUUGGCCUCAACCAAUUUGAAAAUUAUAUCAGAAGUUUAAUAAUACACAGUCAGGGCAGCUGUUCUUAAGAAGACUUCCAGAACGCGAGGCAUAGUUUAACAACGACCUAGACAUCAUCGCGGGUCUCUCUCUCUUUCUAUCUCUGAAAGAGAGACGGGUUAAAUUUAUAACGGACGCAUUGUAUCCGCGUUUCUGAGGAGAGAAUAUGUACGUGUACGCAUGUGUUCGUACGUUGGUGGAAUGUUCAAACGAAGAAACGAUCGGACGAUUUCGCGACCGCCCUAGCUGCUAAUAAAAGACGUUGCGCAACCGUGGACGUUGGUGUUGCGCUGUGGAUAAUAAUAAGAACUGUAGAUCGAGAAAAGGACAAGAGAGAACUGUAUCUCUCUCUCUCUCUUCCUCUCUCUACUUUAUAGCUUCGUCUUUCUCUCGAUAUCUCAUCGUAUCGAUGAAUCGGUGUGUGCACACGCGAAUGCACGAGCCUUAUAAUUUUGCCAUGUACGUGUUACGUUCAACACGCAUACAACAAAAUCUCGAAUCAAACCUGUUUGGAUCGCUUACAACUAGAAAUCAACUUGAUCGAUUUCAUCAUUUUUAAAUUCGAUACUUUGACCAACAGUUUUUUUUUUUAUUGUGACAAAUUCUUAUUUCGACAGAAUCUUGUUAAUAUUCAAUUAACUUUGAAUUGAUAUUUUCUCUCUUGGUAUUUCUUAAUCUUAGUCUUCUUGGCUUGAUUUCGUUGUACUUCGCUCGUCUGGGAAAAAUUAUGUUCCAUUCAGCGCCAUCUAACUUUCGCUCGAUGGCAACAUUGCAUUUAACUUCAUCUUCCGUACGUUCACUUUCGAUGAAGAAACGUUGGGAUCAUCAACAUCACGUUGCCAUGUUUAAUUAAUCCAUUUUGCAUCGGUAGCGCGUGUACGCGCUCGAUUUACCGGGUUACUAUCCCCGAAGCGCUUGGCUUUGCAGUUUCAAUGGAAUUACAAUAGUAUGUGGAAAGUUUUUCACAGCACACAGUAGAUUCUAGGAUUCUUCAGUUCGUAAAUCAUUUACAAUUUAAUUAUUUAACUCUUAAUAAUAAAAAUUGUUUUACGCUUUUUAUACUACGAUGCACGUGCAUAUUGCUCAGGCGGAUAAACGAGCAUCGCUGCAUUCGUAGAACCUCGUGCUUACUAAUCGACGUUAACUACCUUGCCUCGGUAACCAUAGUCUGCCUUCCGCAUCUCGAUUUUACUUGCUUGCUAAUAAAAAGCAUAGGCUGCUCUCAGGGAUAAACAGAUGAAAUGUGAAUUAUAUAUAAAAUUGUGCCAUUUACAAUGUUAUAUCCGAAUUACAUCUAAAGCUUUGUAAAGUU
Molecule: long non-coding RNA, 2741 nt
Organism: Ceratina calcarata
Lineage: Eukaryota; Metazoa; Arthropoda; Insecta; Hymenoptera; Apidae
Exons: 2
Source: RefSeq, a predicted model, not a curated record